This 1740-nucleotide long non-coding RNA is filed under the name Homo sapiens (human). RNAcentral describes it as "HSALNT0375754". The record is from RNAcentral. Lineage: Eukaryota; Metazoa; Chordata; Mammalia; Primates; Hominidae.
CUGGGAGCCACAGCAGGGGUCAGGGCCCUGUGAUCCCCAGCCUGAAACUGGCAGUCAGAUUUCACAGGCUUCAGACCACAGAGGAGCACUAGGACCCCACCAGAGGUGGUCCGGAGGCUGACCUGAAGGCCCUGGGGAUGGGCUAUGCAAGCUGAUUGCUCACUGCGAGUAGCAAGAGAUGCCUUGAGCCUCUUAUGGGAUCAUGAGGAUUGUGUGCUGGGAUCCCGGCAGACAAAGCUGAGAUUCAGCUGGAUAAAGCAGGCUGUAGCACAGCUGAUGUUUGUUCUCUGUGGAAAUCAGGCUCUUUUCUCCUAAGGCUGUACUGGAUAUCAGGAACUUGUAACUAUCUGGCAGCUGCUGGUAUCCUGGAGGACUGCUUAUCUUGCACAAUAUAUUAGGUGCUGAUGCACGAGUUUGCAAGGGAUGCAGAGUCUGCUGUGAAAAAAGCCCACAGGGCUUCACACAGGAGGACAAGUCAGUAUGGCCUUCUAACCUUACUUAUCCUGCCUCAGAACCACCUGAGAGGCUGCUGGAUCCGAUCACCACCUGGACAGUGCCCUGUUAACAGAUCUGCGUUAACCAACAAAUACAGAUCUGUAUUAACCAAAGAGCUGCUUGGUUUGCAGAUGACAGUUCCAAGAUGGAUGAAUGGCAUCCUGUCUGGAAGGCCACCACACUAAGACUGGCAGAUUGAAAGGCUCUGUUUGAAGAAGGUCAGUGCCCAAAAAGGUAAAGAAAACCUCAUGCAGUGUGCUUGCUUCUCCUCAUGGGCAGCCCAUUUGGAUACCCUGGAAAUUGAACCUAAUUUAAAAGCUUAUGGCCAAGUAAAGGAUCCUGACUCUAGCUCUGGAUACAGUAUUUGGCUCAUUCUGGGAACCUGACUUUGAUAAGAAGAUGAAGAACUUUGUGAAUUGAAGUAAAUCACGUGAGAAUCACUGACCUGACCUAAGAAAAGUUUGGAUUUCUGUGAAACAGUAUUCUACCACUCCUAAAGAAAUAUGCAUUUGGCUGCAGUUUUCCACUUUUCACAUAGGGGAGUGAGCUUUCUCUUGUUUGAACAACCAUCAAGAACUGGGAUAUUAUCUCAUUUCAGGUGAAAAUAGUAUUCAUGUAUGCUUAUCACAAAUUCAGUAUUCAGGGUUCAGUAUUUGCACAGAGGAAAAGUAAGCAUAAGUUUUAGAUGAAAGACAUAAAUUUUAUUAUUUAUUUUUAACUUCAAAAAUAUUAUUUUCUAUGCACAUAUGGACCUAUAAAAGAGAUCAAGAAAUUAAUACAUGUAUAUAAUACAUUUAUAACUGCUAGACCUUUAUUUGAGUCUGAUCAUGUUACUCAGUGAGAAACUUUUUUUUCUAAGUCUUAAUAAGAUGUCUUACACUAUAUUUUUAUUUAUAUUGCUUUGGCUUGUGAUUAAUUGCUUUGCUAUUCAAUACUGGCAAAAUUUUUUAUACAGUAAAUAACAUUAAUUAAAAUAAAUUUAUAACUUAUUUAAAUAAAUCUAUCAAGAUGACCUUUCACAAAUUCAAUUCCUUUUGGUUUAAGACAGUUAUUUAAGGGAAAUGUAUUAUGUUUGUCUUAAGAAUUUUUUAAAUUUAUGAAAAAGAAGGAAAGAUUAAUUUCAAGAAAGGUUAUCCAGUCUUGGAGCUACCUGAUUAUAUUCAAGACAGAUUGGCUUAAAAAAUUUGUUAGCUUUAAAUAGCAGAAAUAACUACUCUUGCAUGUAUCAUAUACCAUGUCCCAUAC